UUUUCGAGUGAUGUUUAUUUUCAGCCGUAAUUAAUUAAAUGCUAUGAAACAGUUUUUUCUUUAGACGAAUUGCAGUGACCUGGUUGCAACAACGCAUAAUCCGCAGUAUUUUAGCAUAUUUCAACUGUAAUCAUGAGUGAAAAUUUCAAAACAGAAUCCUUCGUGAAAUCUGUGGUUUCGACUUGUUCGAAGAGAAAAUCCCCGGGAAGAAUUUCACUUCAUAAGUUUCCAAACAGUGAAACAAAUCAAUCGCUAUAUCAGGAGUGGUGUCGUGCACUGCGGCUCAAAUCAAAACCGUCAUCAUUUGCCAAAAAUCAUCUGAUCAACGAAAAUUGAUACUCAAAAACGGCGUCGUCCCAAAAUUAACUAAGCAGGGUGUUGAAAUCUAGGAAAAUAAUUGUAUGAUGGAUCAGCAGGACCACAUUUUGCAGGCAAAUCUCACUUUGUUGGCGGAACCUACGAUUUCCCAUACAUCUCAGGACGUGACACAUGAAGAGGACUCGGUUUCAAACACAAGAUAGGCUCUGAAGAAGGAUACAUCGGUACAAGUAAAUACGGAGGAUAUGGACAAUUUAUUCAAAAAGAAAAUUCGAUUCGAAAAUUGUCGAUAUUAAAACGGAAGUACAACUUA
Aedes aegypti (yellow fever mosquito) is the source of this 631-nucleotide long non-coding RNA. RefSeq lists it as uncharacterized. The record is from RefSeq and is a predicted model, not a curated record. The transcript has 2 exons. Lineage: Eukaryota; Metazoa; Arthropoda; Insecta; Diptera; Culicidae.